Molecule: ribosomal RNA, 649 nt
Filed under: uncultured bacterium
Lineage: Bacteria
Description: bacterial SSU rRNA
Rfam family: Bacterial small subunit ribosomal RNA
Source: RNAcentral
GGGCCUAACACAUGCAAGUCGAGCGCACCUUCGGGUGAGCGGCGGACGGGUUAGUAACGCGUGGGAACGUACCCUUUUCUAAGGAAUAGCCACUGGAAACGGUGAGUAAUACCUUAUACGCCCUUCGGGGGAAAGAUUUAUCGGAGAAGGAUCGGCCCGCGUUAGAUUAGAUAGUUGGUGGGGUAACGGCCUACCAAGUCUACGAUCUAUAGCUGGUUUUAGAGGAUGAUCAGCAACACUGGGACUGAGACACGGCCCAGACUCCUACGGGAGGCAGCAGUGGGGAAUCUUGGACAAUGGGCGCAAGCCUGAUCCAGCCAUGCCGCGUGAGUGAUGAAGGCCUUAGGGUCGUAAAGCUCUUUCGCUGGGGAUGAUAAUGACAGUACCCAGUAAAGAAACCCCGGCUAACUCCGUGCCAGCAGCCGCGGUAAUACGGAGGGGGUUAGCGUCGUUCGGAAUUACUGGGCGUAAAGCGCGCGUAGGCGGAUUGGAAAGUUGGGGGUGAAAUCCCGGGGCUCAACCUCGGAACUGCCUCCAAAACUAUCAGUCUAGAGUUCGAGAGAGGUGAGUGGAAUUCCGAGUGUAGAGGUGAAAUUCGUAGAUAUUCGGAGGAACACCAGUGGCGAAGGCGGCUCACUGGUUCGAUACU